GAUGAACGCUGGCGGCGUGCCUAAUACAUGCAAGUCGAGCGAACAGACGAGGAGCUUGCUCCUCUGACGUUAGCGGCGGACGGGUGAGUAACACGUGGAUAACCUACCUAUAAGACUGGGAUAACUUCGGGAAACCGGAGCUAAUACCGGAUAAUAUAUUGAACCGUAUGGUUCAAUAGUGAAAGACGGUUUUGCUGUCACUUAUAGAUGGAUCCGCGCCGCAUUAGCUAGUUGGUAAGGUAACGGCUUACCAAGGCAACGAUGCGUAGCCGACCUGAGAGGGUGAUCGGCCACACUGGAACUGAGACACGGCCCAGACUCCUACGGGAGGCAGCAGUAGGGAAUCUUCCGCAAUGGGCGAAAGCCUGACGGAGCAACGCCGCGUGAGUGAUGAAGGUCUUCGGAUCGUAAAACUCUGUUAUUAGGGAAGAACAAAUGUGUAAGUAACUAUGCACGUCUUGACGGUACCUAAUCAGAAAGCCACGGCUAACUACGUG
Molecule: ribosomal RNA, 497 nt
Filed under: uncultured bacterium
Lineage: Bacteria
Description: partial 16S ribosomal RNA
Rfam family: Bacterial small subunit ribosomal RNA
Source: RNAcentral